This 497-nucleotide ribosomal RNA is filed under the name uncultured bacterium. RNAcentral's name for it is "partial 16S ribosomal RNA". It matches the Rfam family "Bacterial small subunit ribosomal RNA", at positions 28 to 507 of the family's 1533-position model. The record is from RNAcentral.
GAUGAACGCUGGCGGCGUGCCUAAUACAUGCAAGUCGAGCGAACGGACGAGAAGCUUGCUUCUCUGAUGUUAGCGGCGGACGGGUGAGUAACACGUGUAUCACCUACCUAUAAUACUGGGAUAACUUCGGGAAACCGGAGCUAAUACCGGAGAAUAUUUUGAACCGCAUGGUGCAAAAGUGAAAGACGGUCUUGCUGUCACUUAUAGAGGGAUCCGCGCUGCAUUAGCGAGUUGGUAAGGUAACGGCUUACCAAGGGAACGAUGCAUAGCCGACCUGAGGGGGUGAUCGGCCACACUGGAACUGAGACACGGUCCAGACUCCUACGGGAGGCCGCAGUAGGGAAUCUUCCGCAAUGGGCGAAAGCCUGACGGAGCAACGCCGCGUGAGUGAUGACGGUCUUCGGAUCGUAAAACUCUGUUAUUAGGGAAGAACAUAUGUGUAAGUAACUGUGCACAUCUUGACGGUACCUAAUCAGAAAGCCACGGCUAACUACGUG